This 179-nucleotide small nuclear RNA is filed under the name Suricata suricatta (meerkat). RNAcentral describes it as "U2 spliceosomal RNA (ENSSSUG00005019980.1)". It matches the Rfam family "U2 spliceosomal RNA". From Rfam's summary of the family: U2 is a small nuclear RNA (snRNA) component of the spliceosome (involved in pre-mRNA splicing). Complementary binding between U2 snRNA (in an area lying towards the 5' end but 3' to hairpin I) and the branchpoint sequence (BPS) of the intron results the bulging out of an unpaired adenosine, on the BPS, which initiates a nucleophilic attack at the intronic 5' splice site, thus starting the first of two transesterification reactions that mediate splicing. The record is from RNAcentral. Lineage: Eukaryota; Metazoa; Chordata; Mammalia; Carnivora; Herpestidae.
AUCGCUUCUCAGCCCUUUGGCUAAGGUCAAGUGUAAUGUCUGUUCUUAUCAAUUUAAAUAAUGCUAUAAGGAACCUUUUUGUUGACAAUUACAUAUGCACAGUCCCGAUAGUUUCCUUAGGAUAAAUUCCUGGAAAUGGAAUUGUUUUAUUAAAGAGUAUAUACAUUUUCAAAUGUUUU